GGCAGGGGCUGGUCUUUCAGUUUUCUGUUUGAGGAUUUGUUUCAGUUGUCUGCUCUAAGGAAGCUUCUUAUUCCUAGAUUCAAGCAGAAAAGGUGAAGCCAGAAACUUGAAGCAAGAACGAGCUCGUCAUUCACUCAAGAGGUCCAUGUCUCAUUUCUGGGCAAAUGACUGAAGUGCAACCCUAACAGGACACUUUACAUCAAAGGUUGCAAAGAUGACACCAUGGCACUCUGUGCUUCUGUGUUUGAGCAAAAAACCAUCUGUCUGGAGUCUCUGGGGGAUCACAACUCAACCACUUCAAGGAAGGGGUCUUCUAGUGACUUAACCUCGUGAUUCUACAGAGGGUCUAUAGAUAGAAGUGUAUGCUCUCUAGCUCAUGGCUGCAUCUGACCAGCUGUAGAAAAUCCAAUUGUACCGGAAGGCAAAGGGACCACAAGGGCGUAGGAAGAAGCUGUGAUACCAGCUGUGCAUUGAGUCAGUAAGCUUCCCCAGCAGCCUCCACUUGACUUGAAAUCUGCCAUGCCUUGAUGGACAUCUGAGAAGAGAGUGAGGUCCCAGAGAGGCUGCCUAUGAAUUCAGGCAGCAGUAUAUCAAGAUGAGAAAUGUAUAAACAGCAGAGAUGCUGGAGGUCUGCGUCCCCAGUCAAACAGGUACAAAGAAGACUAUGGAGUUAGAUAUAUGUAACAGCUCAUUUGCAGAGAAAUAUCCCCUACAAGACAGGAAGAUGCUGCUUCUAAUCACACAGCCGAAGUGCGACGUUGUGAGACUGAAAUGGACAACCGAACCAUAUGAUCAGCCUUCUUUUAUGAGAACACUAUGUCAGUCAGUCAGUUUAUGACCUGAAAUUACAUGGGAAGAGUCUGAUCCUGGCCCCGCUGAAUGCAAAGAGGAGAUGCAGCUUUGGAGCUCCUGCCAUCAUCACAUCCUCGACCUUUUGUGUGUCAUUAGCUUGAGACUGAAGUUGUCCUGUCCCUCCCGACCUCUCAGCGGGAGCUGAGCUGAGCAGCACCGCGGGCACCCAGCACCCAGGUCCUUCCUGUGUCAGAGGCCUCGGUGGGCUCAGCAC
RNAcentral lists this long non-coding RNA (1066 nucleotides) under Gallus gallus (chicken). Lineage: Eukaryota; Metazoa; Chordata; Aves; Galliformes; Phasianidae. The record is from RNAcentral.